UUCACUCUUCAUCUCCACAAACUAGUUGAACGUUGAGCCUUAUCGUUAUUUUCAAUGGCAUUGUCACAAUUUCAUUCUUCUCUCAAAUUCGGUAACCCAUUUCCAAUGGCAACACUCUCUUCCUUCACCAUCUCCUCCAAAACCCUAACCCCACCUAACCACCCCAAAACCUCAUCUCUCAAUUUCAACAACCUCUCCAUCCGUACCAAAAUCCGUACCCGGAAUCCUAUCCGCCGGCGGCCAAGGAAGAUUCCUCUUCCAACAAAAGCGGAAGCAAUGAGCAGAAGGAAACGAUUAUGCUUCCCGGUUGUGACUACAACCAUUGGCACUUACCUUCAAACUCUUGCUACUGUCUUGGGAAGUUUAGCUUUUGGAAGAAAAAUGCCGAAUUUGUCCUCGCUCGCAAGAUGUUCGAUGAAAUGUCCCAACCGAAUUCGCCAGUCUUCUUCUUCCGCUCUCAACAUUUUCAUUUCUUGGAUUUUUUUUAUUUGUUGAAAAUUGAAAUAUUGUUUCUCUUGUUUCAGCUUUUGUGGCGAAGUUAGCGGUGAGAGAGGAAUUUGAUUUAGUUGAUAUUAACGGCUCAAUAUACUUAAUCCUGACACUAGGAAUUUGAUUCAUUGGCCAAACGGCCAGGUUUUGAGUGGAGAACUAGACUCACAUUGCUGCAGCUAUCCUAUUCUUUACAAUGUAAUAUACAUGGAGGUAAUCCUUAAGCAUAGAGAUCUUAUGGAGGAGUGGGUGUGGUUGCUAGAAAGGCUAGAUUAUUUUCCCAACCUUCAAAAUCUUACCAUUAUCGAGGACAAUGGGAAUGGAGACGAAAUUGUGUAUAAUUGGAGGGAACAAACAUCUACUCCGGAAUGUCUUUCAACACAGCAUAGAACAUGUUUGAUUAAACAAUUUACAUACACAGAAUAUAGUCUUCAAUUUGCUGAAUAUAUUUUGAGGAAUUCAAAGGUACUGGACACAAUGUCAAUCAAGAGUGCUUCAUUCAUAAAUGAAAAUGUCAAGCACCAAAUGUUAAUGAUAUUAGCUUCGGAGGAAUUCAAAGCUGCAAUGAGCCUAUUGAGCCAUUGACAAUUGAAGAAGUAGUUGAAUGUUGCCAUGCUCCCGAAGAUAUUGAAGUAAUUUACAAGAUCAUCGCGCAUAUGGCUGCCAACGAAAGAGCACUAAUUGCUGAAGAUCUUGCGGUAAAGAAGAAGAUUGAAAAGCACAGGGAAAAAGUGCUUAGGGUUGACAAUGUGCUACAGAAAAACCAGUUUAUUGAAGCAGUUCCAUCUUCUACUAUGAAGAAGAGCUCGAAAAACCAAAAAGUUGUUCCGAAAAGAAUAGGCACCAAUCAAGAUAGUCAUAAGGAUGAUUCCAUGGUAGAUUUGUCUUUUGGAGAAAACCACUGUUGCAUAACUUUGGUGAUUGUAUAUAUUGUUUAGUAUUUAGUAGAAGCAAUACAUAUCUAGAGACGA
Molecule: RNA transcript, 1460 nt
Organism: Vicia villosa (hairy vetch)
Lineage: Eukaryota; Viridiplantae; Streptophyta; Magnoliopsida; Fabales; Fabaceae
Exons: 7
Source: RefSeq, a predicted model, not a curated record